Molecule: long non-coding RNA, 880 nt
Filed under: Equus asinus (donkey)
Lineage: Eukaryota; Metazoa; Chordata; Mammalia; Perissodactyla; Equidae
Description: lncRNA (ENSEASG00005029211.1)
Source: RNAcentral
AGAGCCUGAAUGGGGCAGGGAGGGCGCCUGAAGGUGGAGGGAGAGCACCUGAGGAAGGCUUGGAAGAGGAGACCCUUGAGCUGGAGUCUGUGGGGUGAACAGGAGCCGUCUGUGUGAAGGAAGAGGGGGCUGAACCGUCUGGGCAGAGGAGGAGCAGCUUUGAACUCUGGGGAAGGCCCAGGAAGCAGAAGAUUCAAGAUGAUAAGUGACGGUCUAAUGUGCCCAAGUGGUGACAGAGAAGGAUCCAGAUUCUGCCUCCUGGCAGCCUGACCUCACUGAGCCUGGCACUUAACCACGCCGCAUAACGUUGCUCAUGUCGAAGGAGGGUCCGGAACAGCCUGACGGAAAGCAUUCGAGAACUUCAAGGGACUUUGCCCCCCACCCUCCAGCCAGCCGGGAUGGCCCUCAAAGGUUAUCUCCCAGGUCAGGUAAUUCCAGCUCUGACCUGAUUCUGCACCUGGAAGGGAGGCCAGGCCAGGAGCACUGUUGUGCAGAUGAGGAAAGCAGAGCCCGGAGAGAGGGAAGUGGGAGGUCCUGAGCGGAAACCCGAGUCUCCUGGAGUAACUGCCCGGCGGGCAGGGACUGCAGGACAUGGACAGCACUGGCAACACUUUUCCUGAAAUCACCGGGGUGCUGUGCACCUGUGAAGACAAGAGCCUGACGACACACAAGUGUCCCCUUCGUGAGGGCCAGGGUCACCCGGGGAGCUACACCCCAGGCUCUAGCUUCUGCUGAAUACUUCGCUUUUCCGAUGGAGAAGUCCGUCUUUCAUCCUGGUCAGGUCACGGGGACCCUCUGUCUUCCCUGGGAGAGCACUUCCAUAUUUGAAGCAGGGUCCGUGUGGCUUCAUCUAGAGCUCACCUUUGUUCCAGCAACUCCU